AGCGUGGAGACAGGUGGUGCAUGGCUGUCGUCAGCUCGUGUCGUGAGAUGUUGGGUUAAGUCCCGCAACGAGCGCAACCCUCACCCCUUGUUGCCACCAGGUCAGGCUGGGCACUCUAGGGGAACUGCCCCGGUCAACGGGGAGGAAGGUGGGGAUGACGUCAAGUCAUCAUGCCCCUUACGUCCUGGGCUGCACACGUGCUACAAUGGCCGGUACAAAGGGAUGCAAGACUGCGAGGUGGAGCUAAACCCAAAAAGCCGGCCUAAGUUCAGAUUGGAGUCUGCAACUCGACUCCAUGAAGGAGGAAUCGCUAGUAAUCGCGCAUCAGCACGGCGCGGUGAAUACGUUCCCGGGCCUUGUACACACCGCCCGUCACACCACGAAAGCCAGCUGUACUCGAAGUCGCUGAG
Molecule: ribosomal RNA, 410 nt
Filed under: uncultured Methylomirabilota bacterium
Lineage: Bacteria; Methylomirabilota (SeqCode)
Description: bacterial SSU rRNA
Rfam family: Bacterial small subunit ribosomal RNA
Source: RNAcentral